RNAcentral lists this ribosomal RNA (253 nucleotides) under uncultured bacterium. Its description in RNAcentral is "partial 16S ribosomal RNA". It matches the Rfam family "Bacterial small subunit ribosomal RNA", at positions 524 to 776 of the family's 1533-position model. The record is from RNAcentral.
UACAGAGGGUGCGAGCGUUAAUCGGAAUUACUGGGCGUAAAGCGUGCGUAGACGGUUAUUUAAGUCGGGUGUGAAAGCCCCGGGCUCAACCUGGGAAUUGCAUUCGAGACUGAAUAGCUAGGGUGCGGUAGAGGGAAGCGGAAUUUCCGGUGUAGCGGUGGAAUGCGUAGAGAUCGGAAAGAACACCAACGGCGAAAGCACUCUGCUGGGCCGACACUGACACUGAGAGACGAAAGCUAGGGGAGCGAAUGGG